Molecule: long non-coding RNA, 1340 nt
Organism: Olea europaea var. sylvestris
Lineage: Eukaryota; Viridiplantae; Streptophyta; Magnoliopsida; Lamiales; Oleaceae
Exons: 4
Source: RefSeq, a predicted model, not a curated record
CUUGUGGGAAUAGUGGCAAUCGGCCCUUCUACCGGUUGAUAAUUGUCCUUUGUCCAGGCGAAGAGGACGAAGCAACAACCGGAAGAAGAAAAUGAAUGGUGCUUUCAAACUUCAACCUUCAAUAACUUAAAUGGUAAUUUCUGUACCUAUCUAAUUUAGACGACAAGCAGUGUGCAUCACCUGAGGAAAUAUUCAAGGAGCGAGGAAGAUUAAGCAAAAAUUCACAUUUUUUGAAGGGGAAAGUGUAUGUGAUGUGAUCUGGGUUCGGUGCAAAAUCCUCCAUUAUUCGGCAAUGGUUGGAGGUUGGUUAAUAUCCAGAUUCAAGCUCAACUGGAGGCUGAAUGAAGGUGGUGAAUGCAAUUAAUUGCAUGAUCAAACUAUGGAGCUCAACAGCGUCGAAGCUUGCAAGGAAUUAAUGAUUGUAGAAGGGAGAUUUAAGGGCGAGAUCGGGACUUCAAGAGUUAAUAAAACUGGCUACUUAUGUGUUCUUGCUAGGGAGUUUAAUAUAGUGAAGAUCACAAGCCAAAGCAUGAAGUUGAUGUUGGCAGUGGCAACUGAAGCAAGCUGGAACAAUAUGGGUUCGUGCGAUACUAACAAACAGAAACAGGAACCAAAGCCAACAGCUAUGCGACCGCGUAGUAUUGUUGCCAUGCGGCUGCAUACAUCAAGCCAGAAGACCGAUUGGUGGAAUUAAACACUUCAGUGCGACCGUAGCACACUGAACCAUGUGGUCGCACCUCUAUAAAUCAGGAACGAUUUCUUCAAUUUCGGAAACUGGUACUACAAUUCCAAUCUUGCACAUCUUUUUGGCAUAUAUUUUAAUGUUAGUUUCUUUUUUAAAUUAGGUUUUUAAUUUUUUAUUCCUUUUUAAUUAUUUUAGGAUUUUAGUAUAAAUAGUUUUUCCUUCUUCAUUAUAACUUGGACUUUGACAUUGAAUUAAUGGAGAUUUUCUCAGGAGGCUUUAUGCUUCAAAAUUUAUCGAACUUAUCGGGGUGAUUUCUCGUGGUGUUCAACCUAACAAAGUGAGAUUCGUAAAUUGGGUAAUCACGGGGUCAAGUUUGCAGGAUGGAGUACAUACUCAACAUUGAUGAUCGAUGUGACACAAAGGUCACAAUACGUUCCAACGUGUCGAAUGUAGAGAAAGUAUAUGAAGUAUUAGAUAAUGUUUAUAAGGAGAUGUUCUUGAAGUCGUGUUUCGAUAAGCUGUAUGACAUCAGGAACAUGAAAAUAUCUUACUAAUUCACAACCUAUUGUAAUUGCUUUUAUAUUGUAUUUACUUUUGCAUGUUACCUCAAGUAUUGUUAAAAGAAUUUUGUGUUAUGAAUAGAAGUUUAUUUUUA